CCCUUAGAUGUCCGGGGCCGCACGCGCGCUACACUGAAGGAAUCAGCGUGGCUUUCUCCCUGACCCGAAAGGGUUGGGAAACCCGUUGAAUCUCCUUCGUGAUAGGGAUUGGGGCUUGAAAUUGUUCCCCAUGAACGAGGAAUUCCCAGUAAGCGCGAGUCAUAAGCUCGCGUUGAUUACGUCCCUGCCCUUUGUACACACCGCCCGUCGCUCCUACCGAUUAAGUGAUCCGGUGAAUAGUUCGGACUGCUGCAAUGCUUGGAUCCCGAGAAUUGCGGCGAAAGUUUAGUGAACCUUAUCACUUAGAGGAAGGAGAAGUCGUAACA
This 326-nucleotide ribosomal RNA is filed under the name uncultured eukaryote. RNAcentral describes it as "partial 18S ribosomal RNA". It matches the Rfam family "Eukaryotic small subunit ribosomal RNA", at positions 1470 to 1796 of the family's 1831-position model. The record is from RNAcentral.